RNAcentral lists this ribosomal RNA (374 nucleotides) under uncultured bacterium. RNAcentral describes it as "bacterial SSU rRNA". It matches the Rfam family "Bacterial small subunit ribosomal RNA", at positions 523 to 898 of the family's 1533-position model. The record is from RNAcentral.
AUACGGAGGAUGCAAGCGUUAUCCGGAUUUAUUGGGUUUAAAGGGUGCGUAGGCGGAAUUAUAAGUCAGCGGUGAAAUUCACAGGCUCAACCUGUGCCGUGCCGUUGAAACUGUAACUCUAGAAUACGGAUGCUGUGGGAGGAAUGUGUAGUGUAGCGGUGAAAUGCAUAGAUAUUACACAGAACACCGAUUGCGAAGGCAUCUCACAAAGUCGUCAUUGACGCUGAGGCACGAAAGUGUGGGGAUCAAACAGGAUUAGAUACCCUGGUAGUCCACUACUGUAAACGAUGAUAACUCGCUGCCGGCGACACACUGUCGGUGGCCCAGCGAAAGCGAUAAGUUAUCCACCUGGGGAGUACGACCGCAAGGUUGAA